GGAAGCCUGCCUCAAGAUUAGUUGUCCCUAUGCUUUAUGCAUCUAAAGAUUCCAGGUAGACCACCUGGUUGAUAGGCUGGAGGUGUAAGUGCAGCAAUGCAUUCAGCUGACCAGUACUAAUAAAUCGUGCGACUUAUUUUU
This 141-nucleotide ribosomal RNA is filed under the name Desulfovibrio sp. JC022. RNAcentral describes it as "partial 23S ribosomal RNA". It matches the Rfam family "Bacterial large subunit ribosomal RNA", at positions 2788 to 2925 of the family's 2925-position model. The record is from RNAcentral. Lineage: Bacteria; Pseudomonadati; Thermodesulfobacteriota; Desulfovibrionia; Desulfovibrionales; Desulfovibrionaceae.